Molecule: long non-coding RNA, 330 nt
Organism: Triticum dicoccoides
Lineage: Eukaryota; Viridiplantae; Streptophyta; Magnoliopsida; Poales; Poaceae
Exons: 2
Source: RefSeq, a predicted model, not a curated record
CCACGAGGUUCCGAUCGACCAACGGCGCCCAGGCGUCAUGUGUUUCUCUAAAUGACGCAGAAAAGGGCCCGACGGAGAUUUGUUCUGGGCGCAACAAACUAACCUUCAGAUUCCUUCAGAGGAGGAACUGGGAAGAUUAGUCCAUCAGAAAGUGUGAGUUUUCUCAAAUUUACUUUCUGUCACUUGUGCGAACAAACUGCUUCCUGGUGACAGUUGAUAAAGCCUCAUCUCUAAAAGAAAUGUGUAUGGAUGUAUGCUGGUCAGUCAUGACAUUUAUGCUAUAUGAGGAUCACCGGAUUAAUCGAUAAUAAUCAGACGGUGUUUACUGAA